UUUUAGCCCAGAUAGAAACGGAUAUCCUUUUUUAAUGAAAUUAUAGUUUUUCAUAUAAAAAAAGAGCGACCAACGGAAGCUCCUUUUUUUAUAUUAGAAAAACAUAAUUUUAUAAAAAAGAUAGCAGUAAAUAGCUGGAAUAGCU
RNAcentral lists this small RNA (145 nucleotides) under Flavobacterium aquatile LMG 4008 = ATCC 11947. RNAcentral's name for it is "Flavobacterium aquatile LMG 4008 Flavo-1 RNA". It matches the Rfam family "Flavo-1 RNA". Lineage: Bacteria; Pseudomonadati; Bacteroidota; Flavobacteriia; Flavobacteriales; Flavobacteriaceae. The record is from Rfam by way of RNAcentral.